This 874-nucleotide ribosomal RNA is filed under the name Enterobacter asburiae. RNAcentral's name for it is "bacterial SSU rRNA". It matches the Rfam family "Bacterial small subunit ribosomal RNA", at positions 55 to 919 of the family's 1533-position model. Lineage: Bacteria; Pseudomonadati; Pseudomonadota; Gammaproteobacteria; Enterobacterales; Enterobacteriaceae. The record is from RNAcentral.
AUGCAAGUCGAGCGGCAGCGGAAAGUAGCUUGCUACUUUGCCGGCGAGCGGCGGACGGGUGAGUAAUGUCUGGGAAACUGCCUGAUGGAGGGGGAUAACUACUGGAAACGGUAGCUAAUACCGCAUAACGUCGCAAGACCAAAGAGGGGGACCUUCGGGCCUCUUGCCAUCAGAUGUGCCCAGAUGGGAUUAGCUAGUAGGUGGGGUAACGGCUCACCUAGGCGACGAUCCCUAGCUGGUCUGAGAGGAUGACCAGCCACACUGGAACUGAGACACGGUCCAGACUCCUACGGGAGGCAGCAGUGGGGAAUAUUGCACAAUGGGCGCAAGCCUGAUGCAGCCAUGCCGCGUGUAUGAAGAAGGCCUUCGGGUUGUAAAGUACUUUCAGCGGGGAGGAAGGUGUUGAGGUUAAUAACCUCAGCGAUUGACGUUACCCGCAGAAGAAGCACCGGCUAACUCCGUGCCAGCAGCCGCGGUAAUACGGAGGGUGCAAGCGUUAAUCGGAAUUACUGGGCGUAAAGCGCACGCAGGCGGUCUGUCAAGUCGGAUGUGAAAUCCCCGGGCUCAACCUGGGAACUGCAUUCGAAACUGGCAGGCUAGAGUCUUGUAGAGGGGGGUAGAAUUCCAGGUGUAGCGGUGAAAUGCGUAGAGAUCUGGAGGAAUACCGGUGGCGAAGGCGGCCCCCUGGACAAAGACUGACGCUCAGGUGCGAAAGCGUGGGGAGCAAACAGGAUUAGAUACUCUGGUAGUCCACGCCGUAACGAUGUCGACUUGGAGGUUGUGCCCUUGAGGCGUGGCUUCCGGAGCUAACGCGUUAAGUCGACCGCCUGGGGAGUACGGCCGCAAGGUUAAAACUCAUAUGAAUUGACGGGGG